This 73-nucleotide transfer RNA is filed under the name Apaloderma vittatum (bar-tailed trogon). It matches the Rfam family "tRNA". Rfam says of the family: Transfer RNA (tRNA) molecules are approximately 80 nucleotides in length. Their secondary structure includes four short double-helical elements and three loops (D, anti-codon, and T loops). Further hydrogen bonds mediate the characteristic L-shaped molecular structure. tRNAs have two regions of fundamental functional importance: the anti-codon, which is responsible for specific mRNA codon recognition, and the 3' end, to which the tRNAs corresponding amino acid is attached (by aminoacyl-tRNA synthetases). tRNAs cope with the degeneracy of the genetic code in two manners: having more than one tRNA (with a specific anti-codon) for a particular amino acid; and 'wobble' base-pairing, i.e. permitting non-standard base-pairing at the 3rd anti-codon position. Lineage: Eukaryota; Metazoa; Chordata; Aves; Trogoniformes; Trogonidae. The record is from Rfam by way of RNAcentral.
GGCCAGUUAGCUCAGUUAGUUAGAGCAUGGUGCUGAUAACACCAAGGUCAUGGGUUAGAUCCCUAUUGGGUCC